UUCUUUUAGCCAGACGUUGAUCUAACCAUCAUGAAGAACCACAAGUCAAACAAGUCAGAAUUCAUGAAUAACAUCAUCAAGGCCCAUACUGAAGAAGAAUCGGGUUCUCAUAUACAAAUUUACUCAGAUGGAUCUAACAACGCUGAUAAUGGUGAAGUCACUGUUGAUUUAUUCUUUCCAGUUUUCAAGAUCAGAAAAGGCUUUAGAAUUCCAGAUGACAGCAUUCACUGCAGAGAUAUCAGGGAUCAUUUUGGCACUUUGAUGGAUGAUGGACAACAAACUGGUCGAGUCAGUCUUAUGUAGCGAUUCAUCAGCUGUGUUGACAUCAAGCACUGUUACAAAUUCACAGAGCAGAGUGUGAGGUGGUUUUAUUUGGGUUCCAGCACAUAUGGGUGUGGAGGGCAAUGAGGAAGCAGAUAGCUUGGCACAAAGAGCAACCAAGGAGGAAAGAAUACAAUUUGAUUAAGCACACAGAAAGUCAGAUUAUGACUCUGUCAUUAACAAACUAGUCAAAGAAAUAUGGCAGAGAGUUUAGGAAGCAAAAGAAGAGGGGGACUGAUUUUGAUAUUUAAGGUAAAAUGGGAAAAGUAAGAAGGCACUUCGGUGGUGCAAGAAGAGACUCAAUUGUUGUAACCUGGCUAAGACUCAGACACUGCAGCCUGAAAAGUGAACUGGCUUUGAUUGGGAAGCACAGAGAUAGGAACUGUGAGUGAGGUGAACUAGAAACUGUGAGAAAUGUUCUUAAGUGUAAGCUCUACUCAUGCCAACAGAAGAAACAUUAGAGACUAGGAGCAGCUGGACGAACUGUUUUUAAUCUUUGCUUUCUACUUAACAUGGAGGAGUGGACAAAUAUGAAGAAACUUCUGAACUUUCUCAUGACCACAGGACUGCAUAAGAAAAUAUCGAGGAUUCUCUAAGGACUAUGAGUAACAUCCAGUAGGUGGCAGCAAUACGCCAGUGAUGCGUCUAGUCCGCCUAAUUCAAUGAGGAAGAAGAAAGUAACUCAGUGUUUCUGCCGGAACUUCACAGUGUGACACCCGGCGGAUGUAAACAAAGAAGCAUGAGCAGAGUUAGCUUCACUGCUGUGUGGACUGAGCUAUAAAACGGCUGUAUUAUAGUAUGAAUGAGAAAUAUCAGAGCGAUAAAGUAACGAUGUGUUCAGUUGAGUAUCUGAGAGAGUUGAUCAGCGACAGACUAACUGCUGCUGCUGGAGAAAUAUUCACAGAGUUUGAAAAAACCAUCGUCCAGUACCAGGAGGAGAUCGAUCGUCAGCGCAGACUGCUGGAUGUCAUCUGGAAACCACACAUCCCCUUACAACCCAUAGAGCUCCCACAGUCUUAUGUCUGUGAGAAUGAGAAGACUGUCGUUGACCAUCAGCCCCAUGACCAGGAGAGAAACUCCAUGGUGGACCAUGAGGACCCAGAGCCUCUAUGGAUUAAAGACCAGCAGGAGAAACUCUGCACCAGUCAGGACCAAUCAAACCCAGAGUUUUCUCAAAUUAAAAUGGAACAGGAAGAAUUGUGCACCAGUCUGGACCAAUUAAACUCAGAGUUACCACAAAUUAAAGUAGAACAGGAUGAACUCUUCUCCGGUCAGGAGGAAGAGUUAAUUGGUUUGAAACAGGAGACUGAUACCUUUGAGGUGACUCCUGCUAAUGAGGAAAGUGACCACAGUGAACCAAAACCAAACAGUGAUCAGUUUCUGUUUCACAUCUCUUGUGUAGCUGAGAGCCCAGAUCAGGAAGGAUGCAGGGAUGUAGACUCAGGAUCAACUAGAUGUAUAGAGCAGAAACCAAGACAUCAGAGUAGCAGCAGUCACAGUAAUGAUGUAGACAAUGCUCCAUUGUCAGAGAGACAGUGUGAUAAUGACAAGGCAAGAAAAUCUGCAACAUGCGAGAUCUGUGGAAAAGCUUUUAGGCAUGAAUCAACUUUAAUCAUACAUCACAGAACCCACACAGGUGAGAAGCCGUAUUCUUGUGAAAGGUGUGGAAAAAGCUUCAGUCAACGGUACCAUUUGACUGAACACAUGAGACUUCACACAGGUGAGAAGCCGUUUUCUUGUGGCACAUGUGGAAAAAGCUUCAGUCAACGUUCCCAUUUGACUGCCCACAUGAGAUGUCACACAGGUGAGAAGCCGUUUCUAUGUGGCACAUGUGGAAAAAGCUUCAGUCAACGGGGCUCUUUGACUGACCACUUAAGACGUCACACAGGUGAGAAGCCAUAUUCUUGUGGAACCUGUGGAAAAAGCUUCAACCGUAGUCAUCGAUUAAAAGUCCACAUGAGAAUCCACACAGCUGAGAAGUCGUGAUCCUGAAACAUCUGUGGAAAACAUAAUGUCAGAACUAAGCUUCAAACAACAUGGAAGAAUUGGUAGAGGUUAAAAGUAUAUGUUUUAGAUUUAAAGCACCUUUAGUCUGUGCUUCAACAAUUGUGAGGAAGUAUGUCAGCAAUCCUUGAUGAUUAGACCAGAUGGAGUCUGGACUGUGGUGGUGGUGGAGCAGGCAGAAGAACCAAACUGAAUGUCUGGAUGGAUAUGGUAUUGGUACAGACUGCUACAUUUCUGCUAUCAUGACAUCCUUCAUCAGCAGAGCAGUGAUUGGAGAUAUUGUGAAGCUGUUUGGAACAUUUUCACAUCCUGCUGAGAGAACAUGGCUGUUCAGGUGUGAACAUACUGCUGGAAUCCACUCAGCUUGAGUUCUGCUGUCUUUCAAGUAAAAGGAGGCGACGAGAUACUGAGACAUUGUGACAGUAGGACACAACAGAGUGUGUCAAUGCUGCAGAGGAGAUCUGGAUGUGAAAUAAAGUUGUAAUAAAACAUGUACAGCUCCAUGACUGCUUCAUGAAAUGUUUUGAAUGUUUUCAAACAGAUGAACAUUUACAGGUUGUUUAAUAAUGAAUGUAACAUUGAAGAGCCCCAGCAAGAAUAUCUCUGAGUCAGAUAUCAAAGACAUAACCAACAUUAUUAUGUUUUCAACCAACAGCCAAGUGGUUUUACUAGUAGUAGCUGAUACGCUCCUGCAAAAUUCAAAACCAGAAAAGUUAAAAACAGGUGAAGCUGUGCUGCAGUUCCUGCUGGUUGGAUAAAGGUCUUAUGCUAUUUAUUUCUUCUAUUGUCACCAUAUAGGUCAUCUGUGUGAUUUGUUAGUAGGAUCUCAUUGUGUCGUCAUACAGCACAUUGAACCCUUGUAUUGUCUUAACGUCCUGAACACUCCUCCUGUCCUCAGGGUCAAAAAUGAACUGCCUCCACUGAGCCUCUAAAAUAGAUCAGCUUAAUGGAAUUUUUAACCAAAAAUGUGUUUUACAUGAAGAAACAACCUGCAUUCAUCACACACUUUGUGAAUGCCUCUGUUUUUGCUUCCUCAGAGAAAGUAGAAAGACUGUAUUUAAUAAGUGGACACUAUUCAUUUUUAUACCAUUGUUCAUUCUGUAACCGUUUUCUUUCUUUAAGUAGAGGUUUAUUAUCACUAUUAUUGCUGCUAAAGGUACUGCAUAGUUGUUAACAUUUCUUGUUUUGCAAGAGAUAAUACUUCUAAAGCCUAAUAAAGUACCAGAAAUGUGCAGAAAUCAA
Acanthochromis polyacanthus (spiny chromis) is the source of this 3567-nucleotide RNA transcript. It is a transcript of the gene named zinc finger protein 239-like, with no coding region annotated. The transcript has 3 exons. Lineage: Eukaryota; Metazoa; Chordata; Actinopteri; Pomacentridae. The record is from RefSeq and is a predicted model, not a curated record.